Molecule: transfer RNA, 85 nt
Filed under: Felis catus (domestic cat)
Lineage: Eukaryota; Metazoa; Chordata; Mammalia; Carnivora; Felidae
Rfam family: tRNA
About the family: Transfer RNA (tRNA) molecules are approximately 80 nucleotides in length. Their secondary structure includes four short double-helical elements and three loops (D, anti-codon, and T loops). Further hydrogen bonds mediate the characteristic L-shaped molecular structure. tRNAs have two regions of fundamental functional importance: the anti-codon, which is responsible for specific mRNA codon recognition, and the 3' end, to which the tRNAs corresponding amino acid is attached (by aminoacyl-tRNA synthetases). tRNAs cope with the degeneracy of the genetic code in two manners: having more than one tRNA (with a specific anti-codon) for a particular amino acid; and 'wobble' base-pairing, i.e. permitting non-standard base-pairing at the 3rd anti-codon position.
Source: Rfam by way of RNAcentral
GCCUGGGUGGCUCAGUAGGUUGAGCGUAUGACUUUGACUUAAGUCAUGAUCUCAAAGUUUGUGAGAUACAACCCCGCCUCGGGCU